UACGUAGGGGGCUAGCGUUGUCCGGAAUCAUUGGGCGUAAAGCGCGUGUAGGCGGCCCGGUAAGUCCGCUGUGAAAGUCGGGGGCUCAACCCUCGGAUGCCGGUGGAUACUGUCGGGCUCGAGUACGGAAGAGGCGAGUGGAAUUCCUGGUGUAGCGGUGAAAUGCGCAGAUAUCAGGAGGAACACCGAUUGCGAAGGCAGCUCGCUGGGACGUGACUGACGCUGAGACGCGAAAGCGUGGGUAGCAAACAGG
Molecule: ribosomal RNA, 253 nt
Filed under: uncultured bacterium
Lineage: Bacteria
Description: partial 16S ribosomal RNA
Rfam family: Bacterial small subunit ribosomal RNA
Source: RNAcentral